CCCUCUGAAUUAUUACAACUUUGAAAUUCCAGGGCUUUCAGACAAAGGUAUGAGAGGAGGAAUAGCGGUUCCUCAGCAGCGUGUGUGUGUAUAACACGGCAAACAAACGGCAGCCCCGGCACAGCGAGGAGCAGCCGCAGAGCCCCAGGGCCGCCUUGUCCCGCUGCAGGCGCCUUCCCCUGCCGUGCAGUUCCGGGCGCAGCCAGCAGGGGCGCUGCUGGCUCCCGCCGGGCGGGGCGGGCGAUGAUUCCCCCGCGGCUGCAGGGGGCGCUGUGGCGCGAGCUCGGCCCCCUCUGCACACGGCACUGGCGGGCGGCCGGCGGGAGGGAUGGAGAAGGGGCUUCCUUUGGAGCCCUCAGGGACAGCCGGUCCCGCUGCGCCUCCGCACGGUGACAUGGACUGCAGCAGCAACCUUGGAAGCAGCUGGAACGGCAGAGGCGGGCGCACCCAGGGUGACAAAUGAAAUGAAGUGGACCUAGCCCGCACAGGAGAUGGGUGUUCUCACCGGUGUGAAUGCCUGAUGGCCCAUGGAGAUGUACUUCUCAGACAGACAGAACCUUCAAGGACAUACAUCUGAAUGCGGGAUUCCGGAACCCAGGAGCAGAUACACAUCAGUUCCUGGACAAGGCUUUGUCCAGAGCAGAACAGAGAAUAGACACAGCGUGAAUAUGAAGAACUCCAAGAAAGGACAAAGGGACUCUGCCGCAGGCAAGAAAAAGAGUAUAAAAACCAGACUCUGCCAAGUGGCAUUUGUGAUCACAGGGGAUUCAGUGCAAUAGGGGCAGGAUCUGAGUUCACCCAGCUCUGAUCCCAGGGUCGGUGCUGUCCUUGAUUGUUGGCUGUUGGGACUGUAUAUCGGUUGCAAAUAAAUUUACUUUAUUUUUAUUUAAA
This is a long non-coding RNA of Pyrgilauda ruficollis (rufous-necked snowfinch), 891 nucleotides long. RefSeq lists it as uncharacterized. The record is from RefSeq and is a predicted model, not a curated record. The transcript has 2 exons. Lineage: Eukaryota; Metazoa; Chordata; Aves; Passeriformes; Passeridae.